Molecule: ribosomal RNA, 301 nt
Filed under: uncultured bacterium
Lineage: Bacteria
Description: partial 16S ribosomal RNA
Rfam family: Bacterial small subunit ribosomal RNA
Source: RNAcentral
CAGUAGCCGCGGUAAUACGGAGGGAGCUAGCGUUGUUCGGAAUUACUGGGCGUAAAGCGCGCGUAGGCGGUUACUCAAGUCAGAGGUGAAAGCCCGGGGCUCAACCCCGGAACUGCCUUUGAAACUAGGUGACUAGAAUCUUGGAGAGGUCAGUGGAAUUCCGAGUGUAGAGGUGAAAUUCGUAGAUAUUCGGAAGAACACCAGUGGCGAAGGCGACUGACUGGACAAAUAUUGACGCUGAGGUGCGAAAGCGUGGGGAGCAAACAGGAUUAGAUACCCCUGUAGUCCCUGUCUCUUAUAC